AUUGGAACAAUGGAUCUUCCUCCACGAUGCUAAUUUUCAACUUUAGCGAGCUCUGCACUACAUUGGAUACGGAAAACUGUGUGUCUGUUUGUAAGCAAAGGUCUCUGAAAUGGUCUUAUCGCACGAUAACCAGUAGCGAUGAGUCGAUCACGAACAGUUCUUGUUAAAAAGCUCCUGUAUGCCCACCACUCUCUUUUUAGGAUUGUAUUGUAUGCAAUGGGUUUCCUUCUGACCAACCUUCAUUAUGCUUGAUUUUCCCUAGCAAAUGGUAUAGGGGGUCUUCUUUAUCUCGGAAGGUCUUGAACAUCGUUUAGUGCCUUAUUUUUAUUCUCAAAACGACUUAUAGUGGAAUGGUGAUGACCAACAAUACGUGCAGUUGUUACAGCGACAUCCCUGCUUCUCUCAUGCUGAUAAUAUGCCAUCUUGCUGCAGUUUAGAGUUGUCGAGGACCCAUUACAAGGUGUCAAUCACAUAAAUUUAAAAACUUGG
Molecule: long non-coding RNA, 489 nt
Filed under: Mytilus galloprovincialis (Mediterranean mussel)
Lineage: Eukaryota; Metazoa; Mollusca; Bivalvia; Mytilida; Mytilidae
Source: RNAcentral